AUACUUGCUCAGUGGGGGCAAUACCACGAUCACAAAAGUGGUUUUCCCAGGGUGAGGCUCGUCCAUUGCAGUCAGGAUGUGCUGACCCCAGUGAUUUCCCCAAAUGUGGGAGACUCACCUGCAUGAUUUAUGGUAGUGGGGGACUGUUCGUGUUCUCCCCUG
Molecule: small nuclear RNA, 162 nt
Filed under: Mustela putorius furo (domestic ferret)
Lineage: Eukaryota; Metazoa; Chordata; Mammalia; Carnivora; Mustelidae
Description: U1 spliceosomal RNA (ENSMPUG00000022934.1)
Rfam family: U1 spliceosomal RNA
About the family: U1 is a small nuclear RNA (snRNA) component of the spliceosome (involved in pre-mRNA splicing). Its 5' end forms complementary base pairs with the 5' splice junction, thus defining the 5' donor site of an intron.
Source: Rfam by way of RNAcentral